AGUGGGGAAUAUUGCACAAUGGGGGAAACCCUGAUGCAGCCAUGCCGCGUGUGUGAAGAAGGCUUUCGGGUUGUAAAGCACUUUCAGCGAGGAGGAAAGGGUGAUGGUUAAUAUCCAUCAUCUGUGACGUUACUCGCAGAAGAAGCACCGGCUAACUCCGUGCCAGCAGCCGCGGUAAUACGGAGGGUGCGAGCGUUAAUCGGAAUUACUGGGCGUAAAGCGCGCGUAGGUGGUUAAUUAAGUCAGAUGUGAAAGCCCAGGGCUCAACCUUGGAACUGCAUUUGAAACUGGUUGACUAGAGUUUGUAGAGGGUGGUAGAAUUUCAGGUGUAGCGGUGAAAUGCGUAGAGAUCUGAAGGAAUACCAGUGGCGAAGGCGGCCACCUGGACAGAGACUGACACUGAGGCGCGAAGGCGUGGGGAGCAAACGGGAUUAGAUACCCCGGUAGUCCACGCAGUAAACGAUGUCUAUUAGAAGUUUGUGGCUAUAUGCCGUGGGUUUCAAAGCUAACGCAUUAAAUAGACCGCCUGGGGAGUACGGCCGCAAGGUUAAAACUCAAAUGAAUUGACGGGGGCCCGCACAAGCGGUGGAGCAUGUGGUUUAAUUCGAUGCAACGCGAAGAACCUUACCAUCCUUGACAUCCAGAGAAUCUGUUAGAGAUAGUAGAGUGCCUUCGGGAACUCUGAGACAGGUGCUGCAUGGCUGUCGUCAGCUCGUGUUGUGAAAUGUUGGGUUAAGUCCCGCAACGAGCGCAACCCUU
RNAcentral lists this ribosomal RNA (759 nucleotides) under bioreactor metagenome. RNAcentral describes it as "bacterial SSU rRNA". It matches the Rfam family "Bacterial small subunit ribosomal RNA", at positions 353 to 1106 of the family's 1533-position model. The record is from RNAcentral.